This 496-nucleotide ribosomal RNA is filed under the name uncultured bacterium. RNAcentral describes it as "partial 16S ribosomal RNA". It matches the Rfam family "Bacterial small subunit ribosomal RNA", at positions 28 to 507 of the family's 1533-position model. The record is from RNAcentral.
GAUGAACGCUGGCGGCGUGCCUAAUACAUGCAAGUCGAGCGAACAGAUAAGGAGCUUGCUCCUUUGACGUUAGCGGCGGACGGGUGAGUAACACGUGGUAACCUACCUAUAAGACUGGAAUAACUCCGGGAAACCGGGGCUAAUGCCGGAUAACAUUUAGAACCGCAUGGUUCUAAAGUGUAAGAUGGUUUUGCUAUCACUUAUAGAUGGACCCGCGCCGUAUUAGCUAGUUGGUAAGGUAACGGCUUACCAAGGCAACGAUACGUAGCCGACCUGAGAGGGUGAUCGGCCACACUGGAACUGAGACACGGUCCAGACUCCUACGGGAGGCAGCAGUAGGGAAUCUUCCGCAAUGGGCGAAAGCCUGACGGAGCAACGCCGCGUGAGUGAUGAAGGUCUUCGGAUCGUAAAACUCUGUUAUUAGGGAAGAACAAAUGUGUAAGUAACUGUGCACGUCUUGACGGUACCUAAUCAGAAAGCCACGGCUAACUACGUG